UACGGGGGGGAGCAAGCGUUUGUUCGGAUUUACUGGGCGUAAAGGGCGCGUAGGCGGUCAGCACAAGUCAGUUGUGAAAUCUCCGGGCUUAACUCGGAAAGGUCAACUGAUACUGUGCGACUAGAGUGCGGAAGGGGCAACUGGAAUUCUCGGUGUAGCGGUGAAAUGCGUAGAUAUCGAGAGGAACACCUGCGGCGAAGGCGGGUCUCUGGACAGUUCCUGACACUGAGGCACGAAGGCCAGGGGAGCAAACGGG
This 256-nucleotide ribosomal RNA is filed under the name uncultured bacterium. Its description in RNAcentral is "partial 16S ribosomal RNA". It matches the Rfam family "Bacterial small subunit ribosomal RNA", at positions 524 to 776 of the family's 1533-position model. The record is from RNAcentral.